Molecule: long non-coding RNA, 1308 nt
Organism: Mustela erminea (ermine)
Lineage: Eukaryota; Metazoa; Chordata; Mammalia; Carnivora; Mustelidae
Exons: 3
Source: RefSeq, a predicted model, not a curated record
UGCCCCAGGCAGCGGUGCAGCAACGGCGGGGGGCGGGCGUGGUGGGCGGGACCAUCGUGCGCGCCAAGGGGGCAGGGCAGCGAAAUGCCGCAGAGGCCUGGGGCACAGGGCCGCAUCCGAUCGGCGGCAGCUGAGGGUAUCAGACCGCCUACUGCCUGGCCAACAGCAACUCCAGCACGUUCACCACAAUUGGAGAUGGGAGCUAUGGUGAGGUGAUUCAUGGCCACUGAGCUGGCCCCAGAGUCAGCGUACAUCUUCAGGCUGAUGAUCAAGAUGAGGCAGGGCUGGGGGAGCCCCUAGAGGCCACCAUCAUCACCACUGAGAAGCGAGGUGGUGCUUUGAACCUCAGGUGACUUGACCUCGUUGGCAGCAUCCAGCGCGUCUGGCCUCUGUCUCUUCAGUGCAGAUUCAAGUGCAAAAUACACAGGAUUGUGACCUCUGUCAUCUCCCUGGUGGAUGCAUAUCACAGUCGUAAGUUGUCAUGGUUCUGAACCUCCCGCCAGGGUUGAGGUUCAGGCUUUGACUUGGGUAUCUUUUUUGCUGGCUUCUGUCUUUCUUCUGGAGGGAAAAAUACCCUCUUCUUGUCGAUUAACUUGGAGAUGUACCCUUAACCAGAAUGUUUAGAGUUUGCUGCUUGGGGAAGAUGACUUAGUGGCACAUAUGGAGAAGGUUCUGCUAGUCCCUGCCCCACACAAAACUUCUGAACUCCAGGUUGCCUCUGGUAGCAGAAUCCUGAGUUAUUGCAGCCUGACCUUGUAUAGACAUUCUCUCGAUGAUCGACUUUCUGCCCACAGUUGCUUUAUUGGGCCAUUCAUCUAGAGCAAAGAAUCCCGGGCAUCUUUACAAAUGGAUGUCUGAGUGGACUUCCGCACACAUUCUCUCUCUCUAUCUCUAUCUCUAUCUCUAUGUUUCUUUUUGUGGGCGGAGUGGGAGAUGCAGAGGAUGAGAGAUCCCUUCAGUACGCUCCCCAUGCCUUCCAUAGCCUGACCCAGGACUCAAUCCCAUAACCCUGACAUCAUAACUUGAGCCAAAGCAAAACAUUGGUCCCUUAACUGAAAGUACCUCACAGGCAUUCCUGGACAGGCUUUGUCUUUAUGGAAGGGUGUGUAAGAAACCCCUCCUGUUCUAAAAUCUUCCGAAUCGGGGAGCAUUUCCACGUCUGCAGUGAUCGUACACCCUCUCAGGCCCAGAGAUACGUAUCUGUUCUUUGUGGUGUAGAAAAGCGUUUGGCUCCCACGUUCUCAUAGACGGGGAGGAAGCCCUCACUGCCUGAUGUUUGAUGCUGACGUGUUGAGGUUUUCCUGCCCU